CUGCCUAUGAGCAACUAUAGAGACACAUCUGGAUCAGGUGUUAGCUGCUUCAUUGGCGUGUCCGGUUGCUGCUGAGAGAGGUUGGUGAGGUACUCAUCAUUAUUUUGCGACAUAGAAGCCUACAGAAGAAAAAGAAACCAAUUAAGAUUAUCGAUCAUAAUUUUAUAAAAUUUAAUUGUAAUGAAAUUUGAAGUUAAAAUGUUGAAUGGAAUACGUACAUAAAUGUUGUCAGGUACCUAUUUGCCAUAAUUGGUGAUGUAUAUUUAAACUAACCUAAAUAAUAGAUUAAUUUAAACCAAAUUAAACUUGCAAGCGCACGAAUUAAUUGUAGUAAUAUAUGCAAAUACGAGGUCGAUCCCACAUGGAUUGCUUUAAUACCAAUUUAAUCGAUUAAUCAUGCUAGACUUAAUUAAACAAACAAAGGAUAGAUUGAAUUGAAUAAUUGAGUAAUUGAUUAAGACUAAAAUUAACAAGAAAAAGAAAAGAUUAUUAAUUAAAAUAAACACAUGACACAAGAAAACCUAAGGUUAUGAAUUCACCAAUAACAAUCCUAUUUACUUUACUUUUCCUAGAGCCAACUACUAUCCAAUUACCAUGUCAAUGUUAAAGGUUGUUCUUUCUAAGAUAUGAAUUAAUUCAUGGUCAGGCAUCAACUCUUGUAUCUCUACAUGAUAAUUAUAUCAUAUUGGUUAGGCAUACAAUUAAACACAUAAAAACCCAUUAAGCGUAGAAGAAUCAUGCCAACCAAGUAGGACUAGCUAUAGCUUGAUAUUGGUCAUCCUCACUAGUUUGUCUACUAUUCUUAAUCUUAAUUCCACUAAACCUAAUUGAUUGGUCAUCCUCAUAGAUUUAUCUAACUAUCUAGAUGCAAAAUUCCUAAAGGUGAUCAGUCAUUAGAAAUUCGAAUCUAGAAUAAAAUACCCACAAAGAUUAAGAAUAUAGCAUGGCAUAUAAUCAAAUUAACAAAGUACUUCGCAAAUAUUCAUGUCAUGGCUUCAUCAUAAACCUUAGAAAAUAACUUAGUUACACAUAGAAAUAAAAAUAAAAGAAAGAUAGAAUCCGGAAUCCAUGGCAAAGCACGUCCUUAAGCUCUUCUUUACAAAUUGCGGAGAUGGUGAAUGGUAGUAUGGAUGUGGGUGAUAUCCAGGGUAUGUGGGGGUCAUCUAGAGAUAGCUUAGGACACCUAUUUUAUACUAGAUCUGGGAGAAACUCUCCUAAAUAAAACAAACUCCUAAACAAUUAAUAACACAAACUAGGAAAUAAUCCUUCUUGGCUUGGGAAACACGUAUUCUGUCUUGCACGUCAAAUUUGGGGUUGAUUUAUCUUCUUGAAAAUUCUGUAAAAAUAUAGGAAACAUAGCUUGAUCUCUUAUCUUUCCAAGCAUAUAUCACACGCCACUAGAAAAAAUCAGGAAAGCCUUCUUCAUUCUCCCACAGUUGCGCAAUUAUGACGGGAAAACAACUUCUGCAAGAUUGAUUUGUAAAACUAGAAUGAAUGGCUCCAUGGAAAAUUAUGAAAUUUGGACAGAACGAUCUUCAGCCUCUUAGCUUCCUUCUCCAAUUGGCCUUGCAUUAAAACUCCUUUGGAAAGUCGAAUUAUCACAAAAAACGUUCUAAGUGUGCAGAAUGGCUGAAAUUAAGAAAAGGAAAGUAAUAAGGCUCUUUUAUAAUCAAUUCCUUAACAAAAUCUAGGAAUAAUUAAUAUGAAAAUAUGAUAAAUAAUGCACCUAUCAAUUGUCAUGCAUAUCCCCUUAGGCGUCAACUUCCAAAAAAAACGAACGCUUCGCACGCCAUUCUUUGACCCGUAGAUGAGAAGUCGAGCACCAAAGUGAGGGAGGUACUACUUCGCUUCCCAGUUAGCCUUAUUUGUCGUUGAUUUUCAUUGUGAAAAAAAAUUAAAUUAAAUUAAAAAAACUUUGAAUUAAAAAUUGAAAUGAAAUAUAAAAAAACUUACCAAAAAUUUCGGGCUCUGAAAGUGACCGUACGUGAAGUUAGUUCACUUGCCCAUCAUUUAUACUAACUUUGGGAAUAGAUCGAUCAAAGCUUAAGUAGGAGAUGCACAAGUCUCAUUGUCAUAUC
This 2078-nucleotide long non-coding RNA is filed under the name Malus domestica (apple). Its description in RNAcentral is "long non-coding RNA (MDOM_LNC005010)". The record is from RNAcentral. Lineage: Eukaryota; Viridiplantae; Streptophyta; Magnoliopsida; Rosales; Rosaceae.